UUGGCUCUCGCAUCGAUGAAGAACGCAGCGAAUCGCGAUAAGUAAUGUGAAUUGCAGAUUUUCCGUGAAUCAUCGAAUCUUUGAACGCACCUUGCGCUCCUCGGUAUUCCGAGGAGCAUGCCUGUUUGAGUGUCAU
This 136-nucleotide ribosomal RNA is filed under the name Astraeus hygrometricus. Its description in RNAcentral is "5.8 ribosomal RNA". It matches the Rfam family "5.8S ribosomal RNA", at positions 21 to 154 of the family's 154-position model. Rfam says of the family: 5.8S ribosomal RNA (5.8S rRNA) is a component of the large subunit of the eukaryotic ribosome. It is transcribed by RNA polymerase I as part of the 45S precursor that also contains 18S and 28S rRNA. Functionally, it is thought that 5.8S rRNA may be involved in ribosome translocation. Lineage: Eukaryota; Fungi; Basidiomycota; Agaricomycetes; Boletales; Astraeaceae. The record is from RNAcentral.